Molecule: long non-coding RNA, 753 nt
Organism: Megalobrama amblycephala (Wuchang bream)
Lineage: Eukaryota; Metazoa; Chordata; Actinopteri; Cypriniformes; Xenocyprididae
Exons: 4
Source: RefSeq, a predicted model, not a curated record
GGUGGACUCCUGCGCCGAGCUCUUCUCAAGGACCAGGACGACUUUACCAUGUUCCUCCAGGCGGACAGUGUUGGCCUCGACAUCCUGCAGUUAAAUUCAGGAAGUGGCAGUUGUCUUCUCUUAGGAUGAUUGUGGCAGAACGAGGGGCGUCGUUCACCAAGGCCAACUGCCCAAAGUCGUCUCCCUCAUGAAGCGUGGUCACCAAGCCCUGUGUGACGCACAUACACAAAAUCAUCUUUCCUUAAGUGGAACAGUAUGAAUUUCCUUCAAACAAUGCCUGGAUUACGCUCCAUCAGAGUGCUGUAAACCACCCGCGCAGCCUUCAAGAUUCGGUCGGACAAAAACUGACAGAGAGAAACAGUAAAAAAGCUCUGCUGGACCCCCCGCAGAUGGCGCAUCCCGCUCCAACUCCCAAACAGACUGAGAAAACUGGAGUGUAAGAACUCAACCUCAUUGAUCGAGGCCACAGUUUACUGAACUACUGAAGCAUGCCAUCGUUGUUGCUACGCAGCCUUCGUUUUUUUCUGCACGCCUGCCAAGACCAACUCACUGAUCACAUGGUGAUAAAACUGGUUCGGCACAUUGACACUCUGUAAAAAACUGUUGAAGUGGAGACAAACGAGUAGGGAUGGCAAGCUUUGCUUUAGAAGUGAGAUAUUGAAGAUUUUCCUGCUAAAAAGGCAAGUUUCAAGCUGGUUUGCACCAACGAAAGGAAGCUUGAGUGAUUGAAGUGGUUUUAGUAGAGAUCACACA